GGUAAGAAGGGUACUACAGGGGGUAAGGAGUGAAAUCUUGUAAUCCCUGUGGGACCACCUGUGGCGAAAGGCGUCUUACCAGAACGGGUCUGACGGUGAGGGACGAAAGCUGGGGGCACGAACCGGAUUAGAUACCCGGGUAGUCCCAGCCGUAAACGAUGCUCGCUAGGUGUCAGGCAUGGCGCGACCGUGUCUGGUGCCGCAGGGAAGCCGUGAAGCGAGCCACCUGGGAAGUACGGCCGCAAGGCUGAAACUUAAAGGAAUUGGCGGGGGAGCACAACAAC
This 284-nucleotide ribosomal RNA is filed under the name uncultured Methanosarcina sp. RNAcentral describes it as "partial 16S ribosomal RNA". It matches the Rfam family "Archaeal small subunit ribosomal RNA", at positions 607 to 885 of the family's 1478-position model. The record is from RNAcentral. Lineage: Archaea; Methanobacteriati; Methanobacteriota; Methanomicrobia; Methanosarcinales; Methanosarcinaceae.